GGAGGAGUUCGAAGGUACGCUUGGUACGGUCGGACAUCGUACCUAAAGUGCAAUGGCAAAAGCGUGCUUAACUGCGAGACCGACAAGUCGAGCAGGUGCGAAAGCAGGACAUAGUGAUCCGGUGGUUCUGUAUGGAAGGGCCAUCGCUCAACGGAUAAAAGGUACUCUGGGGAUAACAGGCUGAUACCGCCCAAGAGUUCAUAUCGACGGCGGUGUUUGGCACCUCGAUGUCGGCUCAUCUCAUCCUGGGGCUGUAGCCGGUCCCAAGGGUAUGGCUGUUCGCCAUUUAAAGAGGUACGUGAGCUGGGUUUAAAAGCGUCGUGAGACAGUUUGGUCCCUAUCUGCCGUGGGCGUUGGAAUCUUGACGGGGGCUGCUCCUAGUACGAGAGGACCGGAGUGGACGUACCGCUGGUGUACCUGUUGUCUCGCCAGAGGCAUCGCAGGGUAGCUAUGUACGGAAGAGAUAACCGCUGAAAGCAUCUAAGCGGGAAACUUGCCUGAAGAUGAGGAUUCCCUGGAGACUUGAUCUCCCUGAAGGGUCGUUCGAGACCAGGACGUUGAUAGGCUGGGUGUGGAAGCGCAGUAAUGCGUUCAGCUAACCAGUACUAAUUGCCCGUGCGGCUUGAUCCU
RNAcentral lists this non-coding RNA (630 nucleotides) under Corchorus capsularis. RNAcentral's name for it is "Bacterial large subunit ribosomal RNA". It matches the Rfam family "Bacterial large subunit ribosomal RNA", at positions 2302 to 2925 of the family's 2925-position model. Lineage: Eukaryota; Viridiplantae; Streptophyta; Magnoliopsida; Malvales; Malvaceae. The record is from Rfam by way of RNAcentral.